GACGAACGCUGGCGGCGUGCUUAACACAUGCAAGUCGAACGGAAAGGCCCUGCUUUUGUGGGGUGCUCGAGUGGCGAACGGGUGAGUAACACGUGAGUAACCUGCCCUUGACUUUGGGAUAACUUCAGGAAACUGGGGCUAAUACCGGAUAGGAGCUCCUGCUGCAUGGUGGGGGUUGGAAAGUUUCGGCGGUUGGGGAUGGACUCGCGGCUUAUCAGCUUGUUGGUGGGGUAGUGGCUGACCAAGGCUUUGACGGGUAGCCGGCCUGAGAGGGUGAACGGCCACAUUGGGACUGAGAUACGGCCCAGACUCCUACGGGACGCAGCAGUGGGGAAUAUUGCACAAUGGGCGGAAGCGUGAUGCAGCAACGCCGCGUGCGGGAUGCCGGCCUUCGGGUUGUAAACCGCUUUCGCAUGUGACGAAGCGUGAGUGACGGUAAUGGGUAAAGAAGCACCGGCUAACUACGUG
RNAcentral lists this ribosomal RNA (468 nucleotides) under uncultured bacterium. Its description in RNAcentral is "partial 16S ribosomal RNA". It matches the Rfam family "Bacterial small subunit ribosomal RNA", at positions 28 to 507 of the family's 1533-position model. The record is from RNAcentral.